This is a long non-coding RNA of Ailuropoda melanoleuca (giant panda), 2890 nucleotides long. RefSeq lists it as uncharacterized. The record is from RefSeq and is a predicted model, not a curated record. The transcript has 2 exons. NCBI's taxonomy places the organism in Eukaryota, Metazoa, Chordata, Mammalia, Carnivora, Ursidae.
AGGAACUCACCCAGAGGCCCAGGUCUCUCACUUCCUCCCCCACUCAGGAAGGGGAAGCGCAGGUGGGGGGUGGGAGUCUGGGCACACUGGAGAGGCGGGGAGGGAGGAGCCCAGUGGGAAGAGGUUCGCUGGGCAUCCUGCCUAGGGCCUUGGCUAGGGCUUUAGGCGGUGGGGGAGCUGCCUGCCUGCUGGGCAAAUGUCUUCCAAGGGAGGGGUGAGACAGGCGAGGGCGUCGGGGAGGGAGCAGUAGCCGAGCGCAGAGCGAGCGGAGGUAAGGGCCAGGUCAGGUCUGCCACCGCUGAGCUCUGGCAGCUGGCGGCCCCUAACAUCUCCUGAGCUCUGGCAGCUGGGGGCCCCUAACAUCUCCGAGCGGUUCCCAGGUUGGUGAUCACUGGGCUGGAGUGAGGCCUGAGAGCUCAGGCAUGGCAGGCGGCCUAGCAGGGGAGCCAUGGGGCUGGGCGGUCCGUUAUCGCUGGCUUGCAGCUUGCGGUUUGUGGGAGGAUGCCGUGGGCAUGUUUGAUAUUUGUGACCAGCAGGAAUUGGGGCCCCUGGCUGGGAAAGAGAGCUACAGUCAAGCCCAGAAGGCAGCCAGGACUUGCUCAAGGCCCUCAGUGACCCCAGGAGCCCUGGGGCCACUUGAGCCUGGGGUUUAGGGCUCUCAGGCUGGGGCUCCUUCAAUGCUGUGUCCUCUUGAGCAAAGGGAGAACGCGCCAUGAAGCCAGCGCCAGGCUGGGCCAGUGGCCUCUCGCAGGCCAGACCCACAGUGAGGCCAGAGUUCCUGUGGGGGCUCUUCCCCCUGCUGGGGGUCUGAAGGAGGGAGUAGAAGCCACAUUGGUGGGAAGGUGGGCCCCAGACCCGGGAGUGACAAGCCAGCAGCAGACUUGGCCUGGGGCUGGGACCUUCAGCACAAGCCGGGGCAACGGACAAGACCGGAUGGCUUGGAAGGGCCCUGAGAUGGUGGGCUCGCGGUAGAGGGCCCCGGCUGAGGCAGCAGCAGGGUCAGAGCAGGAGCCCCUCGGGGUCUGGCCCUGGCCUCCAGGACUGGCCCAGGACCAGGGGCGUUUGGGGACAGAGAGAAGCACGUGCAGGGGGAGAGGAGCCGGAGGGCGGCUCUGGAGCUUGUACGUGGGCCAGUGAGGAGGAAGCUUUACCUGCCUGUCGCCAGCCUCCUGGCCUGAAAUGCACACCCAGGGUCACAGGGCUGUGGGAUCCCUGAUGACAAGCUCACCUAACCCCCCUCGUCUGGAAGCAGAGGGCUGUCGUCCCCAUGUGUGACUGCAGGCUGGGAUCGGGGGAGGCCAGGACCUGCCAGGUGGCAGGCCACGUGCCUGCCCCCCUUACCCCAGACUCGGCUCAGACACCACCUGGAGCUGGAGCUGGAGCUGGAGCUGGAGCUGGAGCUGGAGCCGGCCAGGGGAGCUGGUUUCUGGUCUGAAGCGGGACAGUGUGACCUCCCGUCAAGGUGAAGGACACCCCCAGAACAGGACCACAUCUGACUCUGUGUUCUGGCCGCACGACUGUGCUAUUUUGUCUGUACAAACCUACCCUACGGGAGGUAGUGUUAGGAUCCCCGCUUACGCGGACUUCCCAUCUUUGCUCCCCCUUGCAGCAGGCGCAGGACCUCAGGUAAGUGCCUCAGUCUUCUCACCUGUAAAAUGGGGCAAACGUACCCACCUCACAGGGUUGUCCGUUAACACGACCUAAUGCCUGGAAGUAUGUCCACUGUUCCUGUUACUAGCAGACACGUGGACAUCCAAGUGUUAGGUGGUGAGUCACUGCCAGUCACUGCUAGUUCAGUCAAGUGAGGCAAUGGUUCCCAGCGAUCCUCUUUCCCCACACCAGUGACGCAAGGCCAGUGGCGGGCUCUCAAGCAGGAGCGCCUUUCGUGGCCUCCAGGCUCGCAACAGUGCCCCACCUGUGAUGCCACCCCGCCACCGGCUGCUUUCCAGAGAAACCCGGGGCUGGGCCCUCCCUUCCGCUCCCGGACGGCUGUGCAGACACAGCCCCCGGGCGGCCUGAUGACAGCAGUGGCUGGACCCUCUCAUUUAGAGAGAGGGCUUUAGGGGCGUCUGGGUGGCUCAGCGCUGAGCAUCCGGCUCAGGUCACGAUCUCAGGGUGUGACACGGAGCCCCACGUCGGGCUUUGUGCUCGGAGGGGAGUCUGCUGGAGAUUCUGUCCCUCUGCUUUUCCCAAGAUAAAGAAAUAAAGUCUUUUAAAAAAAAAAAAAAGAGGGCUUUAUACCCCUUUGGUUGAGAAGCACUUACCUGUGAAGUCACAAUUCCUGGGGACAGAGCCCAGUCUCCAGGUGACCAUGUGCACAGAGCAAUGGUCUAGCCCCGGACCCGCACCCUGUUCACACCAGCAGGCUGACCACGGUCAAAGGUGGCCACAGGGCACACCUCCCGUGGAUGACCUAUCGCACCGGAACGGAGGACCACCUUGCCGUCCGAACACCCUCCAGACCUGCCUCAGGUACUUGCGGGAGGGGAGCCCCCCGUCCAACUGGGCACAGCCGCCGUACCCAGAAGACUAGGCCACACCUAGUCAGUGAUUUAACAAACGGAGUUGGGGUAGCUGGACUCCUAGCCGGUAAAAAGGGAGGCGGAAUCCUUAAGCCUCACGCCGUGUAUAGAAUACACAUGCUUCAAAGACCACCUCGACAGGGGCAUCUGGCUGCUCAGUCUGAGGAGCAGGGGACUCCAGAUCUCAGGGCCGUGAGUUCGAGGCCCGCACUGGUGUAGAGAUUACUUAAAAAAAAAAGAAAUCAACUCUACAUAAAGUAUACGGGUUCUAGAAAAACAAGAAGUAUAGCUUUAUAUUCUUUUAAAGCGAAGAAAGCAUUUAAAAACAUGCCCACACAUCCCAGAAAGCAUUAAAAAAAAAAAAAAAA